Long non-coding RNA from Acipenser ruthenus (sterlet), 862 nucleotides. RefSeq lists it as uncharacterized. The transcript is spliced from 2 exons. Lineage: Eukaryota; Metazoa; Chordata; Actinopteri; Acipenseriformes; Acipenseridae. The record is from RefSeq and is a predicted model, not a curated record.
UCCCUUGCAUGUCUUGGGUAGUGCAAGAUGAAGGCAACCAUUAAUGAUGUGUUAAUUUUCUAGAACUAAAGAUUUGGUUUCCAUAGUUCUGGGAGGGUGGCAUUCCAAUGAGGCACCAUGCUCUUUCUAGGAGCAUGUAACUUGAGGCAGUUCCAUGUGAAUAACUACUAAUGUCUCUGUUCAGGUGGGUGGAACUUGAAGGUAACCACAGUGUCUGUUCCUGCUGUGACUCUGUGUGCAUAAAUGAAGAUGUGACUUUGCCCAUCGGUAUGUAUACGACCCCCAGAAAGCAAGGGGAAGGGUGUAAAAAUUGCAGAUCCAGUAACUUCUGCUUGAGUGACUCUUGUAGCAGUGGUAAGACCUUGGCUUGUACGCUAAAAUGUAUUUAUUUUUAAAUGUAUCCCCUCAGUUACUAAGAGCACCAUAAGCAGCGAUGCCCUGCUGGUCCUUGAAAAGCAGGGAGGUGACGACGGGGAGAGGAAGACUGGCGCGGCCAUUCUUGAACUGGAGGAGGACUUGCUGUCUUCCGAAGGCGUGUCCAAAGAGGAUCGGGAGGCACUGUCUCCAGAGGACGAUGCCUUUGACGAGAAUGACUAUAACAGGCUUUUGGAUGUUGAGGCAGAAGGCAAUGACAAUUCUGAUGAUCCUAACCAGCAUUUGGAAGGUACCUAUGAUGCCUCCAAGGUGCCAGAGCACAGUGACACUGAGAACUAUGAGGGGGCUGGGGAGCCUGGUCCCUUCGAAGAGGCGGAUGAGUGGAGGGCUCUGUCUGCAGAGGAAGCCGGUGGUAACUGAAGAUGCUGUUCUGUCUAGUUAUUGGAUUAUCAUGACUGCUAAAUAAAGGUGUUGACAUUUUUGUAUA